AGUGAACGCUGGCGGUAGGCCUAACACAUGCAAGUCGAACGGCAGCACAGUAAGAGCUUGCUCUUACGGGUGGCGAGUGGCGGACGGGUGAGGAAUACAUCGGAAUCUACUUUUUCGUGGGGGAUAACGUAGGGAAACUUACGCUAAUACCGCAUACGACCUACGGGUGAAAGCAGGGGAUCUUCGGACCUUGCGCGAUUGAAUGAGCCGAUGUCGGAUUAGCUAGUUGGCGGGGUAAAGGCCCACCAAGGCGCCGAUCCGUAGCUGGUCUGAGAGGAUGAUCAGCCACACUGGAACUGAGACACGGUCCAGACUCCUACGGGAGGCAGCAGUGGGGAAUAUUGGACAAGGGGAGCAAGCCUGAUCCAGCCAUACCGAGUGGGUGAAGAAGGCGUUCGGGUUGUAAAGCCAUUUUGUUGGGAAAGAAAAGCAGCAGGUUAGUACGGCGCUGUUCUGACGGUACCGAAAGAAUAAGCACCGGCUAACUUCGUG
Molecule: ribosomal RNA, 492 nt
Filed under: uncultured bacterium
Lineage: Bacteria
Description: partial 16S ribosomal RNA
Rfam family: Bacterial small subunit ribosomal RNA
Source: RNAcentral